Molecule: non-coding RNA, 22 nt
Filed under: Arabidopsis thaliana (thale cress)
Lineage: Eukaryota; Viridiplantae; Streptophyta; Magnoliopsida; Brassicales; Brassicaceae
Source: RNAcentral
UGCGGAAGGAUCAUUGUCGAUA